UGGGGAAUCUUGGACAAUGGGCGCAAGCCUGAUCCAGCCAUGCCGCGUGAGCGAUGAAGGCCUUAGGGUUGUAAAGCUCUUUCACCGGUGAAGAUAAUGACGGUAGCCGGAGAAGAAGCCCCGGCUAACUCCGUGCCAGCAGCCGCGGUAAUACGGAGGGGGCUAGCGUUGUUCGGAAUUACUGGGCGUAAAGCGCGCGUAGGCGGACUGAUCAGUCAGGGGUGAAAUCCCGGGGCUCAACCCCGGAACUGCCUCCAAAACUAUUGGUCUAGAGUUCGAGAGAGGUGAGUGGAAUUCCAAGUGUAGAGGUGAAAUUCGUAGAUAUUUGGAGGAACACCAGUGGCGAAGGCGGCUCACUGGCUCGAUACUGACGCUGAGGUGCGAAAGUGUGGGGAGCAAACAGGAUUAGAUACCCUGGUAGUCCACACCGUAAAACGAUGAAUGCCAGUCGUCGGGUAGCAUGCUAUUCGGUGACACACCUAACGGAUUAAGCAUUCCGCCUGGGAGUACGGUCGCAAGAUUAAAA
Molecule: ribosomal RNA, 526 nt
Filed under: uncultured bacterium
Lineage: Bacteria
Description: bacterial SSU rRNA
Rfam family: Bacterial small subunit ribosomal RNA
Source: RNAcentral